CUUCAGUCUCGUCAGGGGGUGACAUCUACAAUGCAUUUGUAUGGGAACAUUUUCUGAAUGGAUACGAGUCCUUUUAAUACAGGCCAGAAGAGUAAGACAGGAAGAAUACAUUCUAUAAACAUAUAGAUUUUCAAGAAUACAGCCGUCAACAAAUAAUAGUUUUAUUCAAGGUGACCCCAACAUUGGUGGGAAAAUUAUUUUUACAGCUUUCAAGGAUCUCUUUAAAAAUGUAAAUAGAAUAAUAUUAACAUUUUAUGACAGCUAUAGUAUCACACAGCGUUCUUGUCCUUAAGUCUUGCAAAGCACUUAGUCUUUGUAUUGUCAUAUUUGCAAUACGAUUAUUAUUCACAACUGCGGAAUUUAUAUUCAUUGACACAAAGGUCUUGUUAUUCUCUAUAAGAAUAGAACAAUUCUGAAUAUUUUGCUUACACUCUGUAAGAGAUGAUGUAGGGUCAGAAUGAGACUUCAUCCUAGCUGCUUGGUAGGAGGUAAUUAGAAAUAUUCUGUGCAUAAUCACGGCAAGAAUUCUGCCAUCAGCUUUUCCAUGUGCGAAUAGGAUAAUUUUUUUUCUUAUUUAUACAUAUGUAUAUGUAU
This is a non-coding RNA of Pelobates cultripes (western spadefoot toad), 594 nucleotides long. The record is from the annotation of a GenBank genome assembly. Lineage: Eukaryota; Metazoa; Chordata; Amphibia; Anura; Pelobatidae.